UACGGAGGGCGCAAGCGUUGUUCGGAAUCAUUGGGCGUAAAGCGCGUGUAGGCGGCUUGGCAAGUCGAGUGUGAAAGCCCGGGGCUCAACCCCGGAAGGUCGCUCGAAACUGCCUCGCUCGAGUCCCGGAGAGGAAGGCUGAAUUCCCGGUGUAGAGGUGAAAUUCGUAGAUAUCGGGAGGAACACCAGCGGCGAAGGCGGCCUUCUGGACGGUGACUGACGCUGAGACGCGAAAGCGUGGGGAGCAAACAGG
Molecule: ribosomal RNA, 253 nt
Filed under: uncultured bacterium
Lineage: Bacteria
Description: partial 16S ribosomal RNA
Rfam family: Bacterial small subunit ribosomal RNA
Source: RNAcentral